This 492-nucleotide ribosomal RNA is filed under the name uncultured bacterium. RNAcentral's name for it is "partial 16S ribosomal RNA". It matches the Rfam family "Bacterial small subunit ribosomal RNA", at positions 29 to 507 of the family's 1533-position model. The record is from RNAcentral.
AGUGAACGCUGGCGGUAGGCCUAACACAUGCAAGUCGAACGGCAGCACAGUAAGAGCUUGCUCUUACGGGUGGCGAGUGGCGGACGGGUGAGGAAUACAUCGGAAUCUACUUUUUCGUGGGGGAUAACGUAGGGAAACUUACGCUAAUACCGCAUACGACCUACGGGUGAAAGCAGGGGAUCUUCGGACCUUGCGCGAUUGAAUGAGCCGAUGUCGGAUGAGCUAGUUGGCGGGGUAAAGGCCCACCAAGGCGACGCUCCGUAGCUGGUCUGAGAGGAUGAUCAGCCACACUGGAACUGCGACAAGGUCCAGACUCCUACGGGAGGCAGCAGUGGGGAAUAUUGGACAAUGGGCGCAAGCCUGAUCCAGCCAUACCGCGUGGGUGAAGAAGGCCUUCGGGAUGUAAAGCCCUUUUGUAGGGAAAGAAAAGCAGCAGGUUAAUACCACGCUGUUCUGACGGUACCCAAAGAAUAAGCACCGGCUAACUUCGUG